Molecule: small nuclear RNA, 125 nt
Organism: Callithrix jacchus (white-tufted-ear marmoset)
Lineage: Eukaryota; Metazoa; Chordata; Mammalia; Primates; Cebidae
Source: Ensembl
AACCACCCUUUCUUGUGGUUUGCACAACUGUCCAAGGAGUGCAUAGUGAAGGAAAUACUGCUGAUGCCUACACAGCACAUCUGCAUCGAUGAGCUUUGCUUUACUUUGGUGCAAUUUUUGGAAAA